Molecule: long non-coding RNA, 2282 nt
Organism: Pogoniulus pusillus (Red-fronted tinkerbird)
Lineage: Eukaryota; Metazoa; Chordata; Aves; Piciformes; Lybiidae
Exons: 2
Source: RefSeq, a predicted model, not a curated record
AUGAAGCAUCCAUCCGGUUCUUCAGCUGGCAGUUAAUCACUCAGCCGGGAUUCGGCCUAUCAGCAGUUGUAAUCACAAGUCUCUGAACAGAGGGCCUUUCCCAUCAUCUCCCAGGUGGCCUCUUCAAAGGCAAUGUACACUUCAGGGAUCAAAAAUCACUCCUUUGUCCAGCAAAAUACAGCCUUCAGCAUCUCAUAGAGGGCACUUGCUCAUCCUUGGCUUUGCUUUGCUUCCCAAUGUCAACAAUUCCUCUGUGGCUGUGUGCAGCCAUUUCUGUCAGGAGAGCAGAGGGGAGCUGUGCCAUGGAGCUGUGAGCUCCAGCUGCAGAGAGCACUGCAGGAGUCUGCUGCAAGGAGCAGUGCUGGAAGCCCCAGGUGGGCAGUGAGAGGCAUGGGGAGGUUGGAGGGGGAGGAGUGAAAUUGUCCAUUCAAUGUCAACCCCUAAGGGGCAGCUUCUCCUGCCAGUGCAGACCUCCUGGGCUGGAAUCAUUGUUGAAUUCUCCCCUCUGCUCUAGACUGAAAAGCAAUCAAAUAUUACACUUGUGGCAGAACCAAAUGAGCUUCGUAGGUGCACUUGGACAGCUUGGAGAGAGUUCCAGAGACACAAACAGCUCCUGAUGGCACCUGGGGCUCAUUACAGCAACCUCAGGCAGUGAGAGGAGCCUGAAGAAACUGCUCAGGAAGUCAGAAGCAAAACCUCAACUACCUUGAAGCAUUGAUUGGCCUCACUGAGGGUUGUUACUGACAAAGCCUCCCAGGGCCUCAUUAGAGCAGCUCAAAGGGGCCAUGGCUGCAGGCAAACAAAGGCACAGUGCAGGGCAGCAAACUCUGAGCUUGGUUUGUGAAGCAGAAAGGCCAAGCCCUGACCCUGAGGCCUUGCAAAGGCAGAUCCUGAGACUCUCCAAAUAAAGUUUCAUCUCAGCUGCCAUGGAAGCAGAAGCUACUUCCAGAGCUGAGGGGACAAAGGCCUCAAUCCUCUUGGGCCUUUCAGCCUGGCCAGAGCCUUUGGCCAUCCCUACCUGUCAUAGAGGGCCUGUAGUCCCAAAUAGAGGCUUGCUUAUGCCUUGCCUUGCCUUGCCUGGACAUGUUCUUCUGCCAGGACCCCUGGUUGUAAUCAAGUUGUGUAAGCCCCCACACACCCAGCUCGUGUCUCCCUGGGUUAAACCCAUGUGAUCUCCAUAUUUGGGAAAGUCUAGGCAAGAGCCUUCUGCCCAUUAUGGUAAGGUUUGGCUGACUGCCAACCUGAUUGGUCAUUCUAGUGGCCAAAGGAGCCAUUAAUCUUUGCUCCCAUUCAAUAAAUAGGGGUGCACAGGUAAACAACGUGGUCUGACCCUACAUGCAGCUCAGCUCAGACCUGCAGGCACAGACCUUGCAUAGCUCAGCCACUCAGAUAGCUCAGAGGCUCAGACCUCAUGCUUUGACUUAUUUGCAGGUCACCUGCCUGCGUACCUUAGAUGCAAAGCUCAUUUAAGCCUGCACAUUUAUAUAUAAGGAGCCUAUAGCCUCCUAAGACAGCUGUGCACAUUUGCACACUAUUGCUACUAGGACCAGAUCCUGCAUUGCCUUUACCUGCGGAGCUCAGACUCCCAACAGCCGCACACACUUUGCAUGCCUGCUGCCUAUCAUUGCCUAGUAAGCACCAUUGCCUCUGAGAAAACCAGGAAGCAGAUUCUGGACUGUCUGCACACACACACGGCCUGAAGCCAUGAACAACCAUUCUCCUGCUCCUGAGAUCCUGCCAGCUCAGAAUCCCUGGACACAGCAUCCAGAAGAAGCCAGGAGCACCAAGGCAGAGAUCAUCCCUCGCCAGGAGAACAAAGGUUAGAGAAAACCUAUUUCCCCACAAACUGGGAAGAUUCAUCUUUGCCCCUCAAGCCAGGAAGAUUCCAGCCUCCAAGUCCAUGGGUAGAGACCCCUGAAGAAUUGGACACUAGGCACAGGCUGUGACACAGCCCCAGAGGGUGAUUAAUAAUUGAUAAAGAGUUGUGAGUAAAAGCUUCAAUACCUCUGUAAAUAUAAGUGCCUCUGCCAUAGAGCAGAAAGAGUUCCAGCCUGCUCUGCUGGGCAAACAGCAUAAAGAUCCCAAGCAGCAUUAAGCUGCAGGGAAAAUUCCUCUCUCUGUUUGUAGUUUGAAUGUUUGCUGGUUAAAUAACAAAUCCUUGUACAUAUUUUAUCCUAAAUUGUUUUCAUAAGUGUGUACGAACUUUAAUAUUAAUAAACAGUGGUUGGGGGUGGCAGAGUUCAAAAAUACUGAAUUUAAUAAAUAUAAUUUUUUAUAUAAAA